GACGAACGCUGGCGGCGUGCUUAACACAUGCAAGUCGAACGGAAAGUGCGCUUCGGGGUGACUCGAGUGGCGAACGGGUGGGUAAAACGUGGUUGAUCUGCCCUACACUUGGGGAGAAGCCAGGGAAACUGGGUAGAAUACCGGAUAGGAACUCGGGAUGCAUGUUCUGUGGUGGCAAGCUUUUGCGGUGUGGGAUGGGCCCGCGGCCUAUCAGCUUGUUGGUGGGGUGAUGGCCGACCAAGGCGACGACGGGUAGCCGGCCUGAGAGGGUGACCGGCCACACUGGGACUGAGAUACGGCCCAGACUCCUACGGGAGGCAGCAGUGGGGAAUAUUGCACAAUGGGCGCAAGCCUGAUGCAGCGACGCCGCGUGAGGGAUGACGGCCUUCGGGUUGUAAACCUCUUUCAGCAUCGACGAAGCGCAAGUGACGGUAGGUGCAGAAGAAGGACCGGCCAACUACGUGCCAGCCGCCGCAGUAA
RNAcentral lists this ribosomal RNA (480 nucleotides) under uncultured bacterium. RNAcentral describes it as "partial 16S ribosomal RNA". It matches the Rfam family "Bacterial small subunit ribosomal RNA", at positions 28 to 523 of the family's 1533-position model. The record is from RNAcentral.